Long non-coding RNA from Acanthaster planci (crown-of-thorns starfish), 330 nucleotides. RefSeq lists it as uncharacterized. The record is from RefSeq and is a predicted model, not a curated record. NCBI's taxonomy places the organism in Eukaryota, Metazoa, Echinodermata, Asteroidea, Valvatida, Acanthasteridae.
CUACCACUCAACUCCACCUUCAGACAGCAUCCUGAAAGCGCAGAUUGCAAACCAGACUUUACAAGCCAACAUUAAACUCCUCCGACUCGUAGACUUUCGUUCUGGAGAAGAGAGGUCACCAAGAUGCUAAUCUCCAUAGCGACCAUCCUUUCAGUCACCAUCCUUCUGGGUAAUUCUACCAAGCCCCAAUCUGCUUUUACCAGGCCAGAGUCCACAGAUGGUAAUGGCUGUGAGUCACAGGUGUGUCCAAUGUGUUGCCAAGGACCUGCUGCAACCCCUGGCACACCAGGUUUGCCGGGUAGCCCAGUCCUUCAUGGCCCCACAGGGUCA